UGAGAGUUUGAUCAUGGCUCAGAACGAACGCUGGCGGCAUGCCUAACACAUGCAAGUCGAACGCGUGUAGCAAUACACGAGUGGCGCACGGGUGAGUAACGCGUGGGAACCUGCCCUGGAGUGUGGGAUAACCCGGCGAAAGCCGGGCUAAUACCGCAUACGACCUGAGGGUGAAAGAUUUAUCGCUCUAGGAGGGGCCCGCGUCGGAUUAGCUAGUUGGUGAGGUAACGGCUCACCAAGGCGAUGAUCCGUAGCUGGUCUGAGAGGAUGAUCAGCCACACUGGGACUGAGACACGGCCCAGACUCCUACGGGAGGCAGCAGUGGGGAAUAUUGGACAAUGGGGGCAACCCUGAUCCAGCAAUGCCGCGUGGGCGAUGAAGGCCUUCGGGUUGUAAAGCCCUUUUGCACGCGACGAUGAUGACGGUAGCGUGAGAAGAAGCCCCGGCUAACUUCGUGCCAGCAGCCGCGGUAA
This 473-nucleotide ribosomal RNA is filed under the name uncultured bacterium. Its description in RNAcentral is "bacterial SSU rRNA". It matches the Rfam family "Bacterial small subunit ribosomal RNA", at positions 1 to 523 of the family's 1533-position model. The record is from RNAcentral.